AGUGGAACUAUUUGAAAGGACUACAAGGUUCAGGAGGUGGAGGAGUGUUAUUUACCAAGCUGGAAGCUGAGAUUGGUGCACAUUGUCUGCACCUGACUGAAGAGCUAAGGCCUCUGGCUGAUCGCUUGUCUCUUCCACUGUGGGAUUGCAGGCAGGUCAGCACUGCUUGACACAGAAGUCCUUGCUACUACAGGUCGUCU
This is a long non-coding RNA of Microtus oregoni (creeping vole), 200 nucleotides long. RefSeq lists it as uncharacterized. The record is from RefSeq and is a predicted model, not a curated record. NCBI's taxonomy places the organism in Eukaryota, Metazoa, Chordata, Mammalia, Rodentia, Cricetidae. The transcript is spliced from 3 exons.